UGGGGAAUUUUGGACAAUGGGCGAAAGCCUGAUCCAGCAAUGCCGCGUGAGUGAAGAAGGCCUUCGGGUUGUAAAGCUCUUUUGUCAGGGGAGAAACGGUGAGAGCUAAUAUCUUUUGCUAAUGACGGUACCUGAAGAAUAAGCACCGGCUAACUACGUGCCAGCAGCUGCGGUAAUACGUAGGGUGCAAGCGUUAAUCGGAAUUACUGGGCGUAAAGCGUGCGCAGGCGGUUUUGUAAGUCUGAUGUGAAAUCCCCGGGCUCAACCUGGGAAUUGCAUUGGAGACUGCAAGGCUAGAAUCUGGCAGAGGGGGGUAGAAUUCCACGUGUAGCAGUGAAGUGCGUAGAUAUGUGGAGGAACACCGAUGGCGAAGGCAGCCCCCUGGGUCAAGAUUGACGCUCAUGCACGAAAGCGUGGGGAGCAAACAGGAUUAGAUACCCUGGUAGUCCACGCCCUAAACGAUGUCUACUAGUUGUCGGGUCUUAAUUGACUUGGUAACGCAGCUAACGCGUGAAGUAGACCGCCUGGGGAGUACGGUCGCAAGAUUAAAACUUAAAUGAUUGNCGGGGUCAUAGCUGUUUCCUG
Molecule: ribosomal RNA, 585 nt
Filed under: uncultured bacterium
Lineage: Bacteria
Description: partial 16S ribosomal RNA
Rfam family: Bacterial small subunit ribosomal RNA
Source: RNAcentral